AUUCAACUGAUGAGUCCCGAAUAGGAUGAAAUGCACGUCCUAAAU
RNAcentral lists this non-coding RNA (45 nucleotides) under Schistosoma mansoni. The record is from RNAcentral. Lineage: Eukaryota; Metazoa; Platyhelminthes; Trematoda; Strigeidida; Schistosomatidae.